CCACGGCCAGGGUGGUUCCCAAUAGGGAUGUGCCUGGACGUCCCAGCUGGCGGUGGGCGUAUGCAAAACACCAGCAGCC
Molecule: non-coding RNA, 79 nt
Filed under: unclassified sequences
Description: Proteo-phage-1 RNA
Rfam family: Proteo-phage-1 RNA
Source: Rfam by way of RNAcentral